GACGAACGCUGGCGGCGUGCUUAACACAUGCAAGUCGAGCGGAAGGGCCCGGCGUUUGCGGCGUGCUCGUGUGGCGCACGUGGGAGUAACACGCGAGUAUCCUGCCCUUGACUUUCUGAUAACUUCAGGAAACUCCGGCUAAUACCGCAUAGGAGCUCCUGCUGCAUGGUGGUGGUUGGAAAAGUUCGGCGUUUGGGGAUCUAUUCGAGGGUUAUCAGCUUGUUGGUGGGGUAGUGGUUGACCAAGGCUUUGACGGGUAGCCGGCCUGAGAGGUUGGACAGGGACAGUGGGACUACGAUACGGCGCAGAAUGGUACGGGAGGCAGUAGUGGGGAGUCUGGCAGAAUGGGGCGGCGUCUGAGGCAGAAGCGUGGGGUGCGGGAUGCUGUGUUUCGGGGUGUAAACCGAUGUAGCCUGUGACGAAGCGUGAGUGACGGUAACGGGUAAAGAAGCACCGGCUAACUACGUG
RNAcentral lists this ribosomal RNA (468 nucleotides) under uncultured bacterium. RNAcentral's name for it is "partial 16S ribosomal RNA". It matches the Rfam family "Bacterial small subunit ribosomal RNA", at positions 28 to 507 of the family's 1533-position model. The record is from RNAcentral.